CUACGAAAGGUGCAAGCGUUGUUCGGAUUUACUGGGCGUAAAGAGAGUGUAGGUUGUUUAUUAAGUCGGAUGUGAAAUCCCGGGGCUCAACCUCAGAACUGCAUUCGAUACUGGUAGACUAGAGUUCGGGAGGGGUAAGCGGAAUUCCGUGUGUAGCAGUGAAAUGCGUAGAUAUACGGAGGAACACCUGAGGCGAAGGCGGCUUACUGGAUCGAUACUGACACUGAGACUCGAAAGCGUGGGUAGCAAACAGGAUUAGAAACCCUAGUAGUCC
RNAcentral lists this ribosomal RNA (274 nucleotides) under uncultured bacterium. RNAcentral describes it as "partial 16S ribosomal RNA". It matches the Rfam family "Bacterial small subunit ribosomal RNA", at positions 523 to 796 of the family's 1533-position model. The record is from RNAcentral.